RNAcentral lists this ribosomal RNA (422 nucleotides) under uncultured delta proteobacterium. RNAcentral describes it as "bacterial SSU rRNA". It matches the Rfam family "Bacterial small subunit ribosomal RNA", at positions 9 to 429 of the family's 1533-position model. Lineage: Bacteria; Deltaproteobacteria. The record is from RNAcentral.
GAGUUUGAUCGUGGCUCAGAGCGAACAUUGGCGGUAGGCUUAACACAUGCAAGUCGAGCGAGGCUUCGAGCCGAGCGGCGAACGGGUGAGUAACACGUAGGUCAUCUUCCCCUGAAUGGUGGAUAACUCUCCGAAAGGAAAGCUAAUACAGCAUAAGACCACGACCUCGCUGAGGUUGCGGCCAAAGCAGACCUCUUCAUGAAAGUUUGCGUUUAGGGAUGAGCCUGCGGCCCAUCAGCUAGUUGGUAGGGUAACGGCCUACCAAGGCUAAGACGGGUAGCUGGUCUGAGAGGAUGAACAGCCACACUGGAACUGAGACACGGUCCAGACUCCUACGGGAGGCAGCAGUGGGGAAUCUUGCGCAAUGGGCGAAAGCCUGACGCAGCGACGCCGCGUGAGCGAUGAAGGCCUUCGGUUGUAAG